UAUUGCACAAUGGGGGAAACCCUGAUGCAGCGACGCCGCGUGAGUGAAGAAGUAUUUCGGUAUGUAGAGCUCUAUCAGCAGGGAAGAAAAAAGACGGUACUUGACUAAGAAGCCCCGGCUAACUACGUGCCAGCAGCCGCGGUAAUACGUAGGGGGCAAGCGUUAUCCGGAUUUACCGGGUGUAAAGGGAGCGUAGACGGCAGCGCAAGUCUGGAGUGAAAUGCCGGGGCCCAACCCCGGAACUGCUUUGGAAACUGUGCAGCUCGAGUGCAGGAGAGGUAAGCGGAAUUCCUAGUGUAGCGGUGAAAUGCGUAGAUAUUAGGAGGAACACCAGUGGCGAAGGCGGCUUACUGGACUGUAACUGACACUGAGGCACGAAAGCGUGGGGAGCA
This 392-nucleotide ribosomal RNA is filed under the name uncultured bacterium. RNAcentral describes it as "bacterial SSU rRNA". It matches the Rfam family "Bacterial small subunit ribosomal RNA", at positions 362 to 770 of the family's 1533-position model. The record is from RNAcentral.